GGACAUUACCGAGUUUACAACUCCCAAACCCCUGUGAACAUACCACUUGUUGCCUCGGCGGAUCAGCCCGCUCCCGGUAAAACGGGACGGCCCGCCAGAGGACCCCUAAACUCUGUUUCUAUAUGUAACUUCUGAGUAAAACCAUAAAUAAAUCAAAACUUUCAACAACGGAUCUCUUGGUUCUGGCAUCGAUGAAGAACGCAGCAAAAUGCGAUAAGUAAUGUGAAUUGCAGAAUUCAGUGAAUCAUCGAAUCUUUGAACGCACAUUGCGCCCGCCAGUAUUCUGGCGGGCAUGCCUGUUCGAGCGUCAUUUCAACCCUCAAGCACAGCUUGGUGUUGGGACUCGCGUUAAUUCGCGUUCCCCAAAUUGAUUGGCGGUCACGUCGAGCUUCCAUAGCGUAGUAGUAAAACCCUCGUUACUGGUAAUCGUCGCGGCCACGCCGUUAAACCCCAACUUCUGAAUGUUGACCUCGGAUCAGGUAGGAAUACCCGCUGAACUUAAGCAUAUCAAUAAGCGGAGGAAAAGAAACCAACAGGGAUUGCCCUUGUU
RNAcentral lists this ribosomal RNA (550 nucleotides) under Fusarium oxysporum. RNAcentral's name for it is "eukaryotic LSU rRNA". The stretch from base 157 to 310 matches the Rfam family "5.8S ribosomal RNA". The record is from RNAcentral. Lineage: Eukaryota; Fungi; Ascomycota; Sordariomycetes; Hypocreales; Nectriaceae.